This is a non-coding RNA of Oryza sativa Japonica Group (Japanese rice), 1439 nucleotides long. Lineage: Eukaryota; Viridiplantae; Streptophyta; Magnoliopsida; Poales; Poaceae. The record is from RefSeq and is a predicted model, not a curated record.
CGCUCCGCUCGCGCGCGGCUGCGCGCCCGAUGGCGCCGCCUCCCGCUGGAGCCGCUCGCCCUACCCCGCCGCCUCCUCACACGCGCCCGUCGCCGCCUCGGAUCCGUGUGUCGCCGCCGUCUCUGUUGCUCGACUCCACUGGGAGCAGGGUGCCGCCGUCAUCGCCGAGGGAGCGGGCCGCUCGGAGCCGCGGGACGCGCCGCCGCCGCCGCUGUGGGUCGCCGCCUUCUCCGCCGCUCGCCGGGUCUGCUCUCUCCCUCCUCGCUCGUUGGCAGAUAUGUUCCAGAUAAGUGGUUUUCUGAAGCAUUUAAUAUGCUACGUCUGUAGAAGCUCCAAAUCAUGAAUACUUAGGAGAAUGGAGAUAAAGGCUGAACUUGCUAUCCCUAUUACUAGCCAAAACCAGUCUGGUUAAGAGGAAAUCCUUAACAGUACAAACUGAAUCCUUCCUCUAAACCAGGUUAUUUCAGUUUCUGACUUACAUGUUCUAUUCUAUUUCAGUUGGUGACUUAAACGUUGGUAGAACCCUGCACAAAUAGGAGGCGGCAUCUUAAUACAAUGAAAAAUGAUGGGAACUCCACAACAGAUUUGUCAACACAAUCAGGUUUUUUCGUUUAUGCCAACGCACUAAGGUGCAGCCGGAAAGGAGCAUCCGAUGCAGUGGGGGAUCGUGGUGACGAUCCUGGUGGUCAGCGACGACAAUCGAUGCCAUUAUUAUUGCCUGCUACUAAGACAAAAAUUGGUGACCUGCUGAUUGAUGUUUCUAACUUUCCCUCGAUCAGGUAUCAGCUUCAUUCAUUUAUGGAUAAAAAAUCCAAUAGAUUGUUCUCCGGACUACAAAAAUUUACAGAAAAAUGCUCAGUGCAUUUCCUGAAAACUUAUGCCAUAGAUCACUACGUACUUAUGCUAAACGAUGUAUUUUCAGACUGGUUAGAGUCUUGGAGCUGUUUAUUUCCUUCAUUUCAGGCUUCUUGCUGGUUCAGAGCCAUGUAAAGAUCGAGUUGCUUGAUAAAAUGUUCCAGUGCUUGAUUUUUUAUUAUUUUCAGCUUGGCCAUAUUGUUUUCUAAGCUUUGCGAGUAGCUCAAAUGAAGGCCAUGGUGAUCUGCUUGAGCAACAUGGCAAUAGUGGCUGGUACAAGUUUUGUGUUUCUCCCGGACGGGUUAUGGCAGAUAGAAAAGAUGAUGGUGAAAAUUGGUACAAAAGCUACAUGCCUACAUGUUCGAUGAAAUACUUCGGUAUCCCCGCUGUCCUAACAAGAAAUUUUGAGCAGCCAUUAUCGUAAAUAUGGUCUGUACUCAAUUUUUUGUGCACUGCUGCAGCCACAAGAUAGAUGCACAUAGAUAAGUUGCUCAAUGAAAUGUGCCAUUGGCCCUGUAAAAAAUUGAGGUUAGAAUUCUAUAGGAACCUGAAUUCAAUGUUAUAUGUGAUUUUUUUUUCAUGUA